RNAcentral lists this ribosomal RNA (400 nucleotides) under uncultured bacterium. RNAcentral's name for it is "bacterial SSU rRNA". It matches the Rfam family "Bacterial small subunit ribosomal RNA", at positions 355 to 772 of the family's 1533-position model. The record is from RNAcentral.
UGGGGAAUAUUGGACAAUGGGCGAAAGCCUGAUCCAGCAAUGCCGCGUGAGUGAUGAAGGCCCUAGGGUUGUAAAACUCUUUCGACGGGGACGAUAAUGACGGUACCCGUAGAAGAAGCUCCGGCUAACUUCGUGCCAGCAGCCGCGGUAAUACGAAGGGGGCUAGCGUUGUUCGGAAUUACUGGGCGUAAAGCGCGCGCAGGCGGUCUUCCAAGUCAGUGGUGAAAGCCUGGAGCUCAACUCCAGAACUGCCAUUGAAACUGUUAGACUUGAGUACGAGAGAGGUGAGUGGAAUUCCCAGUGUAGAGGUGAAAUUCGUAGAUAUUGGGAAGAACACCAGUGGCGAAGGCGGCUCACUGGCUCGUAACUGACGCUCAGGCGCGACAGCGUGGGGAUCAAA